GGAUGUGAGGGUGAUCCGGCUGUGAUGUCUAUCACCCCACUGAUUGCCAGGGUUGGUUCAGCUGAUCCGGCUGGUCAGGUGGGUGUCCCCUUUCUCCCUCGUCGCUCUGUGUGCAUCCCUCCGGAAGCUGUGUGCUUGGCUGAGGAGGGUGACCAUCCCCGUUGGUGGAGGACCAUUCUUUGGUGAAGGGUACACAAGCAGUGGCACUCAAGACUAAACUCACUUUUACCUCUAUAGACUGAGUGUUUGUGUCCCUCUAAAAUGUAUAUGUUUAAAUUUAAUCCCCCAAGGUGAAGGUAUU
Molecule: small nuclear RNA, 301 nt
Filed under: Carlito syrichta (Philippine tarsier)
Lineage: Eukaryota; Metazoa; Chordata; Mammalia; Primates; Tarsiidae
Description: 7SK RNA (ENSTSYG00000026689.1)
Rfam family: 7SK RNA
About the family: 7SK was discovered as an abundant small nuclear RNA in the mid-70s but a possible function has only recently been suggested. Two independent studies have found that 7SK RNA binds the CDK9/cyclin T complex (known as elongation factor P-TEFb). P-TEFb activates transcription by phosphorylating the C-terminal domain of RNA polymerase II.
Source: Rfam by way of RNAcentral